RNAcentral lists this ribosomal RNA (575 nucleotides) under Peroneutypa scoparia. RNAcentral's name for it is "eukaryotic LSU rRNA". It matches the Rfam family "Eukaryotic large subunit ribosomal RNA", at positions 318 to 913 of the family's 3401-position model. The record is from RNAcentral. Lineage: Eukaryota; Fungi; Ascomycota; Sordariomycetes; Xylariales; Diatrypaceae.
AAAUAUUGGCCAGAGACCGAUAGCGCACAAGUAGAGUGAUCGAAAGAUGAAAAGUACUUUGAAAAGAGGGUUAAAUAGCACGUGAAAUUGUUGAAAGGGAAGCGUUUAUGACCAGACCUUCGUCGGGCGGAUCAUCCGGUGUUCUUCACCGGUGCACUUCGCCCGGCUUAGGCCAGCAUCGGUUUUCGUAGGGGGAUAAAGGCCUAGGGAAUGUGGCUCCCUCCGGGGAGUGUUAUAGCCCUGGGCGUAAUACCUUUACGGGGACCGAGGUUCGCGCUCCGGCAAGGAUGCUGGCGUAAUGGUCAUCAACGACCCGUCUUGAAACACGGACCAAGGAGUCGAACAUUUAUGCGAGUGUUUGGGUGUUAAACCCUUGCGCGUAAUGAAAGUGAACGUAGGUGAGAGCCCGUACGGGUGCAUCAUCGACCGAUCUUGAUGUUUUCGGAUGGAUUUGAGUAAGAGCAUAACUGUUCGGACCCGAAAGAUGGUGAACUAUGCGUGGAUAGGGUGAAGCCAGAGGAAACUCUGGUGGAGGCUCGCAGCGGUUCUGACGUGCAAAUCGAUCGUCAAAUCUG